RNAcentral lists this transfer RNA (74 nucleotides) under Nitrosococcus halophilus Nc 4. RNAcentral describes it as "Nitrosococcus halophilus Nc4 tRNA". It matches the Rfam family "tRNA". From Rfam's summary of the family: Transfer RNA (tRNA) molecules are approximately 80 nucleotides in length. Their secondary structure includes four short double-helical elements and three loops (D, anti-codon, and T loops). The record is from Rfam by way of RNAcentral. RNAcentral also lists the same sequence under 2 other names. Lineage: Bacteria; Pseudomonadati; Pseudomonadota; Gammaproteobacteria; Chromatiales; Chromatiaceae.
GCGCCCGUAGCUCAGCUGGAUAGAGCGUUGGCCUCCGGAGCCAAAGGUCAGAGGUUCGAAUCCUCUCGGGCGCG